ACUUCUUUAUCACCGAGUGCUUGCACUCACCGAUAAAGAGUUGAGUGGCGAACGGGUGAGUAACACGUGGGCAACCUGCCCAAAAGAGGGGGAUAACACUUGGAAACAGGUGCUAAUACCGCAUAACCAUAGUUACCGCAUGGUAACUAUGUAAAAGGUGGCUAUGCUACCGCUUUUGGAUGGGCCCGCGGCGCAUUAGCUAGUUGGUGGGGUAAAGGCUUACCAAGGCAAUGAUGCGUAGCCGAACUGAGAGGUUGAUCGGCCACAUUGGGACUGAGACACGGCCCAAACUCCUACGGGAGGCAGCAGUAGGGAAUCUUCCACAAUGGGCGAAAGCCUGAUGGAGCAACGCCGCGUGGGUGAAGAAGGUCUUCGGAUCGUAAAACCCUGUUGUUAGAGAAGAAAGUGCGUGAGAGUAACUGUUCACGUUUCGACGGUAUCUAACCAGAAAGCCACGGCUAACUACGUGCCAGCAGCCGCGGUAAUACGUAGGUGGCAAGCGUUAUCCGGAUUUAUUGGGCGUAAAGGGAACGCAGGCGGUCUUUUAAGUCUGAUGUGAAAGCCUUCGGCUUAACCGGAGUAGUGCAUUGGAAACUGGGAGACUUGAGUGCAGAAGAGGAGAGUGGAACUCCAUGUGUAGCGGUGAAAUGCGUAGAUAUAUGGAAGAACACCAGUGGCGAAAGCGGCUCUCUGGUCUGUAACUGACGCUG
This 710-nucleotide ribosomal RNA is filed under the name uncultured bacterium. Its description in RNAcentral is "bacterial SSU rRNA". It matches the Rfam family "Bacterial small subunit ribosomal RNA", at positions 69 to 748 of the family's 1533-position model. The record is from RNAcentral.